GGUUGUACCUCAGUGGUAGAGCACCUGCCUCGCAAGCAUGAGGCCCUGGGUUCGAUUCUCAGCACCA
This 67-nucleotide transfer RNA is filed under the name Marmota monax (woodchuck). It matches the Rfam family "tRNA". Rfam says of the family: Transfer RNA (tRNA) molecules are approximately 80 nucleotides in length. Their secondary structure includes four short double-helical elements and three loops (D, anti-codon, and T loops). Lineage: Eukaryota; Metazoa; Chordata; Mammalia; Rodentia; Sciuridae. The record is from Rfam by way of RNAcentral.